UUUAAGCAUAUCACUCAGUGGAGGAAAUGCAAGCAACAGCGAUUGCUGCAGUAACGGCGAGUGAAUGGGCAACACAUGAUCUCUUCCCGAAGUGAAUCCCUACCGCACUGCUAUGCAGAUGCGUUCGGCUCUCGUGGGUUUCAGCAGAUGCUGUGGGCUGUGGAGUGGAUGGCUGUGUGCCGACUGAUCAUGCACCAGGAAGCGACCUGGAAUGGUCCACGAUACAGGGAUACUGUCCCAUACUGGUGCUGUGUGUGUGAUCAUAGGCAUGUGGCUGUCUGCAUCCAGGAGUAGAGUGGCUUGGGACUGCAGUUUGAAGUGCAAGGUGUAUCCAUUGCAAGGAAGCAUACUGACAUGGGACCGAUAGCGCACAAGUAGAGUGAUUGAAGGAUGCAAAGGACUUUGCAAAGAGGGUUAAAAGUCCCUGAAGCCUUGGCAGGAACGGCGGAAAGUGGUGCUGUGGUGUCUGGUCUGUGGGACCAUCAGCUAUGCCCCCUCCAGGCAUUGGCUGGUGGACAGCCACCCACGACCAACUGCUUGCUGGACUCCAGCCUGCAGUGAUGUUGGACUAUCCAAGUGACCUUGGGUCAGCCCCUAGCUGGUCACUGAGCCCUUUCCACACCAGGAUUGGAUGCAAUCGUGGCAGCCCAUUGGGUGACACCCUGCCUGUCGGGACCUGAGGUUUGCAGAGAUAUCUCCAGUGGAUCACAAUGAUUUGAUGAGCAACAACCCACAACACAGUCUCCAGAGUCACAACCAGGUGCUUGGCACAGGCAGUUGCCACAGGUGGACCCUCUGUUGAGGCGUGGAUCAAGUGCCUUGCCAGCACUGGUGUGUGUGUGUGAUGAGGACAGUCUGUCUUGUCUGGUGUAGCCUGAGAACCAAGAGUGAUGAUACACCUGCCCACCACAAUGUGGUGAGGCAGCAGUGUUGGUGCAAGGAUUUGCCAAAUCCUAGUGUUGUCUGCGGACAUCCUAGGUGUGCUGUGCCUGGGCAUGGAUCAGGGGCUGGUGGAUGCAUGGUGACUGCACCACUCUGAUGGUGGUUCCUGUGUGAUCACUGGUCCCCCAGACAGUGCACAGUGCCAAGGCAGCUGAGCUUGGUGCAGCAGCGCUACUCUCUGCCCGUCUUGAAACACGGACCAAGGAGUCUAUGGAGCUUGCAGGUUUGCUGGUGAUUAUGUAAACCACAGGGCGUGGUGAAGGCAAACAUCCCAGAUGGUGCACACUUGUGCUUGUGAGAGAGACUCUCUCUGAUUGGAAGGUGAUGAUGGGUGCUAUCCAAAAGGCACCUCCCAGAGGGCUUGCUUGACCAAACUGGGCAUGUGGAAUCAGCUGUGCCUGCAGUCUGGUCUGGAAGUGGGCUCUGGGCAUGCACAUACCCUGUGCAUGUGAUCCACCAACCAUGAAAGGGUGUAGUACUACAGCCUUGCUUGCUAAGCUUGUGUGAAUUGCUCUGCAUGGGACACCGGUCCCGAAGUCCAGUGGACAGGGUUCUGAGUGAUUGCAUGGUCCAUGGGACCCGAAAGGUGGUGAACUAUACCGUUCUAUGUCGAAGCCGUGGGAAACUGCGGUGGAGGACAGUCGCUGUUCUGACGUGCAAAUUGUGUAGCCUGAGGGCGGCAUAGGGGUGAAAGGCCAAUCGAACCACCUAGUAGCUGGUUUCCUUCAAGUUUCCCUCAGGAUAGCUGGGUUCAAAUGCAACACCACCACUCCAAGUGGUUACGUCCGGUAAAGCAACGCAUGAGAGGCGCCUGCUGGGAGGCUUUCCCUCCUGGACCUAUUCUCGAACUGUGAAUGGGCGUGGCAACACCCCAAAAGGCAUGCUUCUUCACUGGUGCUGGAGUCCAUCUCACCAUGGUUCUCCUGGCUUCUGAGCGUGUUUGUGGUCUGGCAACCCCUACCACACCAGAGUUGAUGAUGAUCAUUGGAGCCAACCACCCAUGGUGAUGAUACCCUCUGAGCCUGUGUUCCCCCCUCUGCCUGCCUGGGUGAGGUGUGUGUCUCUGUGAUGCCAUCCCCCAGCAGCAGCAGCAGCAGUGUGGGUCAUUGUGCCAGGGUGGUCCCUCAUCAACCAUCAGAUCCAUGUGAAAGUCUCUCUGUCCCACAACUCUGCCUCCUGGCAGAUCUGAGAUAUGAUGGUUGCUGUCAUGGUGAACAGACGUGCCUAUGUGGACCAAGAUUGGUAAGCAGUGCUGGUGAUGCGGGGUGCUCCGAGAGUGGACUUACAGAUCCAGAGUGCUGGCUCAUACCCAGAUCCCACAAAGGAUGUUGCUUGCUAGGGAUAGCAGGACGGUGGCCAUGAAGGUUGGAACCCGCUAAGGAAUGUGUAACAACUCACCUGCCGAAGCGUGCAGCUCCGAAAAUGGAUGGAGCCCAAGUCAGUGAAGCUGAAUUUGCCUAUACAGUCCACCGCUGCUGUGGCAGCCAAGCAGAGCAUCAGCGUGUAGAAAGGACAUGGGAGACUGCAGCAACAGUUGGGGUUGCCCCUGACUGAAGUGUCUUCUGGUGCAGAUCUUGGUUGUAGUAGCGAAUACUCCAUCGGGUGAAGAGCAGAAUAACCCUGCUGUGUGCGGUUGAGGACAGGAGUGGAGCAGGUUUCCGCACCAAACAGCCGUUGAAUGCGGGUCAGCCGACCGUGAGUCAAGUGGUAAUUCACCGAACAACCAAAGCUGCCAUUGCCCAUUGGAUGUGUGAGUGUGAGGGGCAACAACCAGGUGCCCACCAAGCUGGUGAUGAACUGGAGCAGAGGAACCAAAGGGAUGCCUUGAGAGAGAGCAGCAGCAUUGUGGGGUCAGUCUGACUAGCCAACAGCACCCCCGACAGCAAGGGAGAGUUGCACACCGGUGUAAGGGUCAUUGCCACCCACACCAAGCAUCCUCCAGCAGUGGGCAACCAAGCAUCACCCUGAUGAUGCCCUUGCUGUCAGCUUGAUUGGGACAACUGCCUCUCCUCACAUCUCUCUCCACUCUCCACACCAUGCUUGUGGAACCAGCAUCUGGGAGCUAUACCCAAGCACCAUGCUCUGGUGGUGCCUGGCAGGAGUGGCAAACAGGCAAGCAAGUGCAACAUUCUGCUGUGAUGGGCUUGAGGUUCUCUGGUGGUGACACCAUUGUGACUGGAACAAGCAGGCUUAGGGGCAGUGCACCCCCCGAGGAGUUAUCGUUUCCUCCUGAUGCAGGCACAUGUGGGCUAUCGAUUGGCAUGCCACAUGGUGGUGUAUGCCCUCCGCUCAGCAAGGCAGCAUAACAUCUGUGCUGGUGGUCUCAGAUUGCAUAUGGAACUGGCAGGAGCUCAGCAAGGAGAGCAUAUCACUCAGUGAGUUGCAGCUUUGUGAAGGCAAAUGUCAGCAGAGAAAAGAGCUAUCGGUGGUCACUGGCUCCAAGGAACAGCCUGUGGGACAACGUGCCUCUAGUCCCUGGUCCUCGUACUGAAUCACCGCAGCCGGUCUCCUCGGCUAGACGCCGCUUGUUGACGGACGAAAUGCAGCUAAGGGAAGUCGGCAAACUGGCCAUGUACCUUUGGAAGAUGUGGUGGCUCCAGAGGUCAAGUCGCUAGGUCCAGCUGUGGACUGUGUGGAGUGGAGGUGGCUGCUGCACUUGGUGGUCUCGGCCAUCGGGUGUGGAUUGGCUGCCUCUGCCAGCACCGUUUCUGUGGCUGGGGGUCAGACUGCCUUCGGGUAGCUCUGCACCCACCCUGGUGUCUAUGAAGUGACUCAUGUGGAACUGUUGCUGUGCAGGGGAAUCUGACUGUUUAAUUGAAACACAGCUUUGUGAUGGGUCCAGCUGGCUGGUCCCAUGAGGUGACUUCUGCCCAGUGCUCUGAUUGUCAAUGCGAAGAGAUUCAGCCAAGCGCGGGUAAACGGCGGGAGUAACUAUGACUCUCUUAAGGUAGCCAAAUGCCUCGUCAACCAAUUAUUGACGCGCAUGAAUGGAUCAACGAGAUUCCUGCUGUCCCUAGUUGCCGUCUGGUGAACCAACAGCCAAGGGAACGGGCUU
RNAcentral lists this ribosomal RNA (3997 nucleotides) under Trachelomonas lefevrei. RNAcentral describes it as "partial large subunit ribosomal RNA". It matches the Rfam family "Eukaryotic large subunit ribosomal RNA", at positions 33 to 2386 of the family's 3401-position model. The record is from RNAcentral. Lineage: Eukaryota; Euglenozoa; Euglenophyceae; Euglenales; Euglenaceae.